RNAcentral lists this ribosomal RNA (294 nucleotides) under uncultured bacterium. RNAcentral describes it as "partial 16S ribosomal RNA". It matches the Rfam family "Bacterial small subunit ribosomal RNA", at positions 775 to 1067 of the family's 1533-position model. The record is from RNAcentral.
GGAUUAGAUACCCUGGUAGUCCACGCCGUAAACGCUGUCUACUAGCUGUGUGCGAUUUCAUUAUUGUGCGUAGCGAAGCUAACGCGCUAAGUAGACCGCCUGGGGAGUACGGCCGCAAGGUUAAAACUCAAAUGAAUUGACGGGGGCCCGCACAAGCGGUGGAGCAUGUGGUUUAAUUCGAUGCAACGCGAAGAACCUUACCUACACUUGACAUGCAGAGAACUUUCUAGAGAUAGAUUGGUGCCUUCGGGAACUCUGACACAGGUGCUGCAUGGCUGUCGUCAGCUCGUGCUG